Molecule: long non-coding RNA, 126 nt
Organism: Cotesia glomerata
Lineage: Eukaryota; Metazoa; Arthropoda; Insecta; Hymenoptera; Braconidae
Exons: 2
Source: RefSeq, a predicted model, not a curated record
GCCUUGAACAACUAUUCCCAGAUGAUGAGAAUGAUGGCAAUGAUGAUGAAGAAUUACCACGUGAACCCUCAUCGUCUAUUGUUACUAAAAAAUCCUCAACAAUCUAGGAAAAGAACUAAAGGAAGA